Molecule: ribosomal RNA, 327 nt
Filed under: uncultured eukaryote
Lineage: Eukaryota
Description: partial 18S ribosomal RNA
Rfam family: Eukaryotic small subunit ribosomal RNA
Source: RNAcentral
CCCUUAGAUGUUCUGGGCCGCACGCGCGCUACGCUGACGGAUUCAACGAGCUUACAACCUUGGCCGAAAGGUCUGGGUAAUCUCCAAAAUCCGUCGUGAUGGGGAUAGAUUAUUGCAAUUAUUAAUCUUCAACGAGGAAUGCCUAGUAAGCGCAAGUCAUCAGCUUGCGUUGAUUACGUCCCUGCCCUUUGUACACACCGCCCGUCGCUCCUACCGAUUGAAUGGUCCGGUGAAGCGUUUGGACUAUGGUUUUCUGAUGGUCCGCCGUUGGAUUACCGUGGGAAGUUCGUUAAACCUUAUCAUUUAGAGGAAGGAGAAGUCGUAACA